UGACCUUAAGAGCAACUUCAUUGC
RNAcentral lists this non-coding RNA (24 nucleotides) under Arabidopsis thaliana (thale cress). The record is from RNAcentral. Lineage: Eukaryota; Viridiplantae; Streptophyta; Magnoliopsida; Brassicales; Brassicaceae.